CCUACGGGAGGCUGCAGUGAGGAAUAUUGGUCAAUGGACGCAAGUCUGAACCAGCCAUGCCGCGUGCAGGAAGACGGUUCUAUGAGUUGUAAACUGCUUUUGUACGAGGGCAAACGCAGACACGCGUACCUGUCCGAAAGUACCUUACGAAUAAGGAUCGGCUAACUCCGUGCCAGCAGCCGCGGUAAUACGGAGGAUUCAAGCGUUAUCCGGAUUUAUUGGGUUUAAAGGGUGCGUAGGCGGUCGGGUAAGUUAGCGGUGAAAUCCCGAGGCUCAACUUCGGAAUUGCCUCUGAUACUGUUCGGCUAGAGAGUAGGUGCGGUAGGCGGAAUGUAUGGUGUAGCGGUGAAAUGCUUAGAGAUCAUACAGAACACCGAUUGCGAAGGCAGCAUACCGGGCUACAUCUGACGUUGAGGCACGAAAGCGUGGGGAGCGAACAGGAUUAGAUACCCCAGUAGUC
Molecule: ribosomal RNA, 460 nt
Filed under: uncultured bacterium
Lineage: Bacteria
Description: partial 16S ribosomal RNA
Rfam family: Bacterial small subunit ribosomal RNA
Source: RNAcentral